GUUUCUUUGCUUUAGCCUGGCUCCCUAGUUUCCCCUUCCUUGAACUUCUUUAAAGGCAUCCCAGUGCCUGAAGUGUUCAUCCUCCUGAUAACCAGUCUCACUUAGACUCUCUGACAAGCAUGGACUAAAUAGUCAGUCUUGACCAGUCUGUACAAACCAGCUCCCUCAGUGCCAAGGCUGUCCCUUUAAUCUUUUCUCUUCCUGGCAUUUUUCCAUGCCCAGCAUAGCUGUCUGUAACUGCCAUUUUCCCCAUGAAUACACUUCUGCAAGGGUAUGUGCAUGUUGCUGUGUGCCUAGCAUUGGAAGAGUGGCGGGUUUGUUGGAUAUGUCAGAGUGAGCACGGCCCCCACGCCCACUCAGGCAUCUAUUGCUCACAUUCUCACUGUGUGCUAUAAUUCCUACACCACUUUCUUUCCUAGUGCUCUUAAAACAUCUCCUUACAUUAUUUAUCUGUGUGUUUGCACGUGUGUGUGUGUGUGUGUGUGUGUGUGUGUGUGUGUGUGUGUGUGUGCAUUCUCUCAAGCACAUACGCCAUGGCACAUGUGUGGUCAGAACAUAGCUUUCAGGAGUCAUUCCCCUCCUCUCACCACGUAGGUACCAGGGAUAGGUGCUUCAAUAUGAAGCAGCCCUACUGGGCUAGCUCAGGCUACCUACUCCUGGUCAUCAUUUGUUACUGAAUCUCUAAAGUGGUCUCCCAGGAGAUUCUCCUUUAGCCUGUGUGGCAUCUGAAAUUGGCUAAAACUCAAGUGAUUGGGCACACCUGUGAGGGAUUUUUUUAAUUAAAAAAAAUUAAAUCAUUUAAAAUGGGAAGACCCACUUUUAAUCCAGAUCUUUUGAGGUGGGAAUCUAGGCCACACCUUCUGCUGGCAGUCUAUAUAAAGGACACAGAAGAAGGAAGGUUGCUCUCUCUACCUAACGACCUUCACUGUCACUGGCAAAUCCAUUCCUCCACUGGCAAGAUAGCCUACUUCUUUGGAAUGCUGAGACCCUGUGAGAGCCAACAUUACAUUUUAAUUUACUGUUCCUAAGAGAUCCAUGAAACAAAAAUGCGUCUAACCUGUAAGCCUUUUACUCAGGAACAGACAUUUCCUGCAAUGCUGGACGCUGUUGUUUCUGAGAGAUAACAAGCCACGUGUUUUCACUCCCCUAAACAAGUGAGCUUGAUCACACGUAAUGGAAAAUACCAUGCCAUUAUGGGGUUGUCGUCUUAAGCCUCUGCCAAGUGUGACUCGUGGCCAUUUCAUGGAAACCCUGGAAUAGACCUGGCCAGAGUCCAUCCUCCUUGUCAGUAUUUAAUUAAAGCUUGCUUCAAAUUUGGCUGGAAGAUUGUGGCAGAGGUCUUAUUCUCAACCCAUGGGACUAACAACAUCUAAUGUCAUGGACAAAAAUUCAACUGGAUUCUUGGAUCAUCUGUUGGAAGAUAGUUAUUGUUGGAGAACUGGACCACAGCCUAUAAAUCAAUCUAAUAUAUCCCCUUUCUAUCUAUCUAUCUAUCUAUCUAUCUAUCCACCCAUCCAUCCAUCUAGAUUCAUUCUAUAAGUUCUGCUCCUGUAGAUAACCCUGACUUAAUCUGCCUGGUGCCAGAAAUGAGUUGAUUUGCUAAAAUGAAUUCCAAAGCAUCCAGUAUUGUCAGGUCUACAAAUUUUCUGGCCACCUAGUUUUGUAUACUUCCCAUUUGCCACAAGAGGGCGCACUAUUGUCAUCUUUAACUUCACUCAGGGUAGAAAGAGAUAUACUUCAAGGUUUAUUUGUUUCUCAUGUAGCCCAAGAUGGUCUCAAACUCACUACGUAGCUCAGGGUGACCUUAAAUUUCUGACCUUCCUGCCUUCCAUCUCCUGAGUGAUGGGAUGAUAGCCAUGUGCCACCAACAUGCCUCGAGUGCAUUUGAGAUUUAAAUUGAGUGGCUAGAGAGAGGUGGCUCAACAUAAAAGCCCUUGCUGUCCUAGCAGGACAGUCCAAGUGGAGUUCAGUUCUGAGCACUUACAACAGGGGCUUAUAAUUGCCUGUAACUCCAGCCAGGAGAUGUGAUUCUACCUUCUAGUCUCCACAGGCGCGCCAUGCUCACGUAUGCAUACACACCUAAAUAAAAUGCAAUUUUAUGCCAAAAUCAGGAACUGAGAGAGUAGUUCAACAGUAGGGUACUUGGUUCACAGUUGUAAGACUAUCCGUUAGACACCAACAUGCACACACACAUGCACACACACACAUUUAAAAUUAUUUACUAUAAAUAAUAAGGCCAGCCAGACAUGGUGGCGCAUGCCUUUAAUCCCAGCACUCAGGAGGCAGAGGCAGGCAGAUUUCUGAGUUUGAGGCCAACCUGGUCUACGAAGUGAGUUCCAGGACUGCCAGGACUAUACAGAGAAACCCUGUCUUGAAAAACCAAAAUAAUAAUAAUAAUUAAUAAUAAUAAUAAUAAUAAGGCCUACAUGAUAUCCACACAUUUCCUUAAAUGGAAUGUAAUUAUCAGGACUGGAAAGAUGGUUUCAUAGCUAGGAGCAGUUGCUGCUCUUUGCAGAGGACCUGAGUUUGGCUCCCCAGCAUCCACUUCGAGUGGCUCACAGCCACAUGUAACUCCAGCUUUGGGUGCUAGAAGGUGCUCUUCUGGAGUCUGUGGGCACUUGUACACACAUAUUCACAAACCCUCAGGCAUGCGCGUGUGUGCGCGCUCACACACACACACAAUUAAAAAAUAAAACUGAUCAACUGAUCUUUAAAAAUAAAAAAGGAAUGUCAUUGAUUUCACAAUAUUGCAGACAAACCUUCCAGACAUUUGUAUAUGUCAAGUUGUUUUUCUUUGGUAGAAGGCUACCGGUUUUCAUUGUGGCACUUAGGAUUAUUUUUAUAUGUACACCGCUUUAUUAUUUAUUUAUUUAUAUCUACUUAUUUAUUUAUUUAUUUAUUUAUAUUUACUUAUCUAUGCAUGCAGUGGCUGCAGGAGCCAGAAGAGGGCACUGGAUCCCUCGGAACUGGGGUUAGAAAAGAGGUUGGCCUUUCUGAAGGUUUUCUGCAAGAGCCAACAAGUGCACUUGGCUGCUGAGCCAUCUCCAGGUCAGUAAGGGGCUAUUGCUAUUAAGUAUUAAAGGGCUUAAAGGCAUGCGCCACCAUCUGAUGUGUGAUGUAUUCAUUUAUUUCGAUUAAAAAAAAAAAGAAAUAGAAAGAAUGAGACGGAGAUCUGUUUUAAAAUUCCUUUCCCAGGACCUGGGUGUGCUGUGUACAAGACAGAAAAGAGCUGGAGAGCCAACCCCCUGGGCGCCAUGUCAGUCACUGCACAGUAAUUGAAACCAGGAUGUAUCAUAAACAGGCUUUAGCUAACUGCUAACUGCUAAACAAGUUAGUCCCUCGGCCAUUGUUUACUUUGAGCAAUUCCCUUCUGCCCUAAACCACAGAGAGGUAAUUAUAGACAACGAAUCUUGAUGGAGGACUGGAUGCCAUCUAACUGGGACUAGCCCGAAGAAAAUGGCGAAUAUUGCAUAAAUGACCUAGAAGAGUAUUUCCAGCUCGCUUCUGCACCUUGCCCUGAGGCUCCUAAUCUGACUUCAUUCAUUUUGUUGUUAUGGCAGAACUAUC
Molecule: long non-coding RNA, 3567 nt
Filed under: Mus musculus (house mouse)
Lineage: Eukaryota; Metazoa; Chordata; Mammalia; Rodentia; Muridae
Description: long non-coding RNA chr8:107385117-107388684
Source: RNAcentral